AGCUGGAACCAAAGCAGCAGUCUGCAAAGCCGUUACCAACUUUGAAAUGGGUUAUUUAAGCUUCUAUCAAGGGAUCAACUGAAAUUUUUUCAAUAUUUCAGUAAGAGUACAAAAUUUUCGAAAUAAAGAACAUUUAGUGCUCCUGUUUGGCUUCCGGGAAAAUGCAGGAUGAACAGUAAUUAUUAAAAAUAAAAAAAAAGGAAUACUAAUGUCAAGUUUGAAACAAAUUUCUGUCGAUUUUCUUCGCUCAGAAGCCAAACCCUUCCAUCAUUCCAUAGAAGACAGGAGGAAGACAGAAAAGAAAACAAG
RNAcentral lists this long non-coding RNA (309 nucleotides) under Gossypium barbadense (sea-island cotton). RNAcentral describes it as "long non-coding RNA (GBAR_LNC023247)". Lineage: Eukaryota; Viridiplantae; Streptophyta; Magnoliopsida; Malvales; Malvaceae. The record is from RNAcentral.